AAACCUAAACAACUCCCAACAAACUUCCUUUUGCAUAAGGAGUAACCAAAAAUCUAGAUCCAAAUCUACAAUAGAAAGAUAGUAAACUACGAGUACUUAAAAUUUACAUGAAAUCUAACAUUAAAAUACUCGAAGAGACAUUCAAUACACUAUCUGAUAACCAUUUCAAAAUAAACUUAGUACAAACUAAGUAAAACAUUAUAUAAUUCAAGCUAUUAGGCUUAGAAUCAACCAAUACAAUAGUUCGUAAUUGACUAGCUUAACACAAUAAUAACUUAUCCCAAAUCACUCAAAACCAAAGACUGAUAAACCAUGGUUACAUUAGUAAGAGCAACAAAAUCUACAUGUUACAAUUCGGCAACAAACCCUCUACUGUUUAAUAAAAACAUUGUAAUAUAAAUAUAUUAUAACCUCCUGCCCAAUGAAAAUAAUUAAAUGGCCGCGGUAAUUUGACCGUGCAAAGGUAGCAUAAUCAAUUGUUUAAUAAAUUUAAACUAGAAUGAAAGGAGUAAAGAAAGUUUACUAUUAACAUGUAAUCAACAGAAAUUAUAAUUAAGGUGAAAAUUCCUUACAGCAAUCUUAAAACGAGAAGACCCUAGAAACUAAUAAUUACAACCUUUUUUGGGAUAAAACCUUAAAAUAAAAGAAUUAACAUCCUUUAAAAUAAAAUAGUUACUCUAGGGAUAACAGCACAAUAAAAGCUAAGAGAACUAAUCUACCCUUUAGAUUGUGACCUCGAUGUUGAAUCAAGAAUUACCGGUUGUAGAAGACCAGCAAGUUUCGUCUGUUCGACGAUAUAUAAAUACGUGAUUUGAGUUUAAACCGUCGCAAGACAGGUUGGAUUCUCUUUAAGACUGCAAUAUUUAACCAUUAUAAGUACGAAAGGAACAUAAUACUUAAUAAUCAUUAUGAAAAAAUUUAAAUUAUCCGACAUUAAAAUCACAGCAAUCUUACUAAUUACAUUACUAACAACACUUAUACUAGCCAAAACCAAACCAUCUUAUGAAUUAAGC
RNAcentral lists this ribosomal RNA (1013 nucleotides) under Trichinella nativa. RNAcentral describes it as "16S ribosomal RNA". The stretch from base 574 to 858 matches the Rfam family "Archaeal large subunit ribosomal RNA", at positions 2146 to 2720 of the family's 2987-position model. The record is from RNAcentral. Lineage: Eukaryota; Metazoa; Nematoda; Enoplea; Trichinellida; Trichinellidae.